CAUUCAGCGUUUCGUAUUCUUAAUUAUGGUUUUGUUAUACACAUAUAUACUCGACGUGUGUAAUACUGUAUUCGAAUUUAACAAUACAAAAUCAAAACUACCUCAAAAAAAUGUAGAUCUAACAAAAUUUCAGCGGGAAAAAAACGCAAAAUAUCAAACUGUACAAGUGUACAUAUACAAUUUAAAUGCUGUGAAAUAUGGAAAAAGAUACAAAUGGAGAGAGAGAAGACAAAGUAACUUCCCAAAGAAAAAUCUGAUUUGGGACACACGGAGAGAGAGAGGAGAGAGAGAGAGACUUCCUCAGAACGUGGGAUU
RNAcentral lists this long non-coding RNA (315 nucleotides) under Actinidia chinensis (golden kiwifruit). RNAcentral's name for it is "long non-coding RNA (ACHI_LNC000311)". The record is from RNAcentral. Lineage: Eukaryota; Viridiplantae; Streptophyta; Magnoliopsida; Ericales; Actinidiaceae.